UCACCCCACCCCCCCCCCCGCUCUCCCAGGUACAUUCCCCAGCAACUACAGGUGAUGCAAUACCACCUCCCUUGCCUCCAUCCAGAGAUCCCAGCAAUCUUUCCAGAUGAGAAUGAGGUUCGUGUGCACCGCUAUAACCCACAUUGACUGCAUUUAGCACUCCCAAUGUACCCUUAUUUACAUCUGUGAGACAAGGCGAUAGUUUCGCCAAACAACUAUGUUUGCUCAGCCAGGGCCUGGUUGUCUGCUGGUUACUGACCAUUUUAAUUCCCCUUCCCAUUUCCAUGCCAACAUUUCUGUCCUGGGCGCCUUCCAUGGCCAGAAUGAUGCAAACUGGAAUAACAACAAUUCCUAUUCUGCUUGGGACGCCUCCAACCUAAUGGUAUGAACAUCAAAUUCUCCAAUUUUAAAUAAUACACUCACCAUCUUGAUCCUCUCUCUUUUCCAUGCCCCAACUCCCCCCCCACUCGAACACAAAGUU
Amblyraja radiata (thorny skate) is the source of this 481-nucleotide long non-coding RNA. RefSeq lists it as uncharacterized. The transcript has 3 exons. The record is from RefSeq and is a predicted model, not a curated record. Lineage: Eukaryota; Metazoa; Chordata; Chondrichthyes; Rajiformes; Rajidae.